RNAcentral lists this ribosomal RNA (253 nucleotides) under uncultured prokaryote. Its description in RNAcentral is "partial 16S ribosomal RNA". It matches the Rfam family "Bacterial small subunit ribosomal RNA", at positions 525 to 777 of the family's 1533-position model. The record is from RNAcentral.
ACGGGGGGAGCAAGCGUUGUUCGGAAUCACUGGGCGUAAAGGGCGUGUAGGUGGUUGUGUAAGUGGGAUGUGAAAUCCCCCGGCUUACCCGGGGACCUGCAUCCCAAACUGCACAGCUUGAGUAUGGGAGAGGAUGAGGGAAUUCCUGGUGUAGCGGUGAAAUGCGUAGAUAUCAGGAGGAACACCGGUGGCGAAGGCGCUCAUCUGGCCCAAUACUGACGCUGAGGCGCGAAAGCUAGGGGAGCAAACGGGA